CACGGGGGGAGCAAGCGUUGUUCGGAAUCACUGGGCGUAAAGGGCGUGUAGGCGGUCAAGUAAGUGGAAUGUGAAAUCCCUCGGCUCACCCGAGGACCUGCAUCCCAAACUGCUUGGCUUGAGUAUGGGAGAGGAUGAGGGAAUUCCUGGUGUAGCGGUGAAAUGCGUAGAUAUCAGGAGGAACACCGGUGGCGAAAGCGCUCAUCUGGCCCAAUACUGACGCUGAGGCGCGAAAGCUAGGGGAGCAAACGGG
RNAcentral lists this ribosomal RNA (253 nucleotides) under uncultured bacterium. RNAcentral's name for it is "partial 16S ribosomal RNA". It matches the Rfam family "Bacterial small subunit ribosomal RNA", at positions 524 to 776 of the family's 1533-position model. The record is from RNAcentral.